GGUAAGAGUGCUCCACAUUAAAUCUAGGCAGCAUGGUUCGAUUCCCAUUACAUACAACUUUCUAAUUUUAUUAUUUAUCUUCUUUUUUUUUGCCGUCAAAAUUUAUUAUUUAUUACAAAUUAUGAGAACUGUUUCAUAGACGAUUCUACCACGGACAAUUUCUUCUGAACCUUAUUAGAUCCACGACAGACGACACUUCCUUCUCCUUCUCCAUGCGCUUGAUGGACACCUUCAAUAUCUUCUCUGCGUAGAAUCUUGGCGAACGACUAUAAUUGUACAUCGUUGUAGAUCUCAUGCACACUUGCCUCCAUUAAUCUGCAAAUCUGCUAAUAAAUCGCAAUAGCUGAGACUCGAACCUCAGACCUCUUGGUGUAUAAGCAUUAAUGAACCCUUGGUCAAUCAUUGGGUCAAGGAGGCUUCCACUAUUAUUUAUCUUUAAC
Molecule: small RNA, 440 nt
Filed under: Arabidopsis thaliana (thale cress)
Lineage: Eukaryota; Viridiplantae; Streptophyta; Magnoliopsida; Brassicales; Brassicaceae
Description: ATSL171360
Source: RNAcentral